RNAcentral lists this ribosomal RNA (465 nucleotides) under Vreelandella stevensii. RNAcentral's name for it is "partial 16S ribosomal RNA". It matches the Rfam family "Bacterial small subunit ribosomal RNA", at positions 338 to 795 of the family's 1533-position model. The record is from RNAcentral. Lineage: Bacteria; Pseudomonadati; Pseudomonadota; Gammaproteobacteria; Oceanospirillales; Halomonadaceae.
CCUACGGGCGGCUGCAGUGGGGAAUAUUGGACAAUGGGGGCAACCCUGAUCCAGCCAUGCCGCGUGUGUGAAGAAGGCCCUCGGGUUGUAAAGCACUUUCAGUGAGGAAGAACGCCUGGUGGUUAAUACCCAUCAGGAAAGACAUCACUCACAGAAGAAGCACCGGCUAACUCCGUGCCAGCAGCCGCGGUAAUACGGAGGGUGCGAGCGUUAAUCGGAAUUACUGGGCGUAAAGCGCGCGUAGGUGGCUUGAUAAGCCGGUUGUGAAAGCCCCGGGCUCGACCUGGGAACGGCAUCCGGAACUGUCAAGCUAGAGUGCAGGAGAGGAAGGUAGAAUUCCCGGUGGAGCGGUGAAAUGCGUAGAGAUCGGGAGGAACACCAGUGGCGAAGGCGGCCUUCUGGACUGACACUGACACUGAGGUGCGAAAGCGUGGGUAGCAAACAGGAUUAGAUACCCCUGUAGUC